UUAAGUUCAGCGGGUAGUCUCACCCGAUUUGAGGUCAAGGUUCGUGGGUCGAGCAAGCUCGAACAAUGUCUUCCAUGAGACGGUUAGAAGCAGGUUCCCAAGGAGCAGAGCAAAUCCCAAGACGUAGAAACAUCUUAUCGCGCCUGGGGAUCGGCAAAGGGGACCUCACUAAUGCAUUCAAGAGGAGCUGGCUUUUCACA
RNAcentral lists this unclassified non-coding RNA (200 nucleotides) under Russula sp. RNAcentral's name for it is "partial internal transcribed spacer 2". The record is from RNAcentral. Lineage: Eukaryota; Fungi; Basidiomycota; Agaricomycetes; Russulales; Russulaceae.